Molecule: long non-coding RNA, 342 nt
Organism: Oreochromis niloticus (Nile tilapia)
Lineage: Eukaryota; Metazoa; Chordata; Actinopteri; Cichliformes; Cichlidae
Exons: 3
Source: RefSeq, a predicted model, not a curated record
CGACAUACAAGCAGAGAAGUAAUAUAGAAGGCAACAGGGAAACACCAUCACCAUGGGUGAAAAGAUUGGUGUGGGAUUUGUUCUCUUUGUUGUCUGCUGCACAGCUACCACACCAAUAACCACAAGACCAGCUACAGCUGCUGCAACAAAUACAGUGGCGCCAACAACCACAGCUGCUCCCACAACAACCACAGCUGCCCCAACAACAACCACAGCUUCCCCAAGAACAAUCAUAACUGCCGCCUCAACAACAACCACAACUUCUCCAACAACAACCACAGCUGCUCCAACAACGACCACAGCUGCUCCAACAACAACAACAGCUGCCCAAACAACAACCAC